Molecule: long non-coding RNA, 975 nt
Organism: Tyto alba (common barn owl)
Lineage: Eukaryota; Metazoa; Chordata; Aves; Strigiformes; Tytonidae
Exons: 3
Source: RefSeq, a predicted model, not a curated record
AACAAAACAGUUCAUUCGUUGCUUCAAAUUAUUCCUGUCAUGUUAGCCCUGAUCGGGCGACCACUUGCUGAGCAAGAUUUUAUAGCAGGAAUGAUGAGGACGUCAGUGAAUCCUGCCACUGCUGAAGUUCCAGAGAAAAGUGUGUGUGUGUGUAGAACAGAAGACUACUUCUGUGGCUGUGCCAGAUGUUAACGAUAAUGUCUGAAAAACCUCAGACAACAAUGCUGCAUACACCAUAUCUAUAAUCAGGCCAAAAUUUAAAAACAUGUUCAGUAAUUAAAAAAAAAAAUUCCUUCUGAUGUCCAUCAAAAAUCGUAGGAUGCGUUAGGAAGUUCGGACCUUGGUGUAAAAAAUAACUCCUAGUAGCAAGGACUUCCAGAAGCUAAAGGUGUUAAAAAUGCCAUGAACAAAUCUAGAAGAUAUGGAAAAGGGGGGAAAGAGAUCAUCUAACUACAUUAAUUCUAUCCAUGAUCUGAGCAACAUUAGUGUAAGCAUUAUGGACAGCAAAUGUGGACAGCUACACAUAAUAUCUGGUUUAAUACAGAAAUGCAGUAAUGCCUGAUGCCUGCUGAUUAUUGCAUGUGGAUACUGAUUAUUCUAUUACUGUCUGCAUUUUUGCAUCAAGUAGAUACUGUUUUCAAGGGAAAAGACUGUGGGAUGUCGAUAAGACAGUGUUUCACUGUCAAGUCCAAGGACCCAGCCUGGAUUGUAAAAAGUUAGUAGAUAAAACAGAAAAAAUGAUCCAGACUUCUCUUCGUCUCCUGUCUCCCACUUUAUUGAUUGCAUUAAUGUUUCUGUAUCCCAUAUACAGUUCCGUAGCUGUUCAUAGUAGCUACUUACUCAUAGUAGCUGUGAUGGGUAUUGUACAAGAGUAAGCAACUGGAACUGAAAAGGGUAUUGUUGUUAAGGUAUGAGCAGGAAUAGAAACCUGCUGACAUAUACUAUUUUCUUGAUGAAACAUACCAGCAUCCAAGG